CCUGCCCACUGAGAGUAUUAAAGGGCCGCGGUAAUUUGACCGUGCGAAGGUAGCAUAAUCAUUAGCCACUUAAUUAGUGGAUGGGAUGAAGGGUUGGAUGAAGGAUGAACUGUCUUUUUAAUAAGCGAUUAAAUUUUACUUUUAAGUGAAAAGGCUUUAAUAAUAUAAAGUGAAGAUAAGACCCUAUAAAACUUUAUAUAAAUAUUGUCUUGUUCGUUGUAUUUGGUAAAAGACAAUAAGGCUAGAUUAUAUUUUGUUGGGGCGACAGGAAUAGAAUUUAAGUAUCUGUUUUCAUAAUGAGUUAGUAAUGGUUAAUUUAAUGAUCCUCUAGUAGAGAUUAAAAGACUAAGUUACUUUAGGGAUAACAGCGUAAUUUUCUUUGAGAGUUCUUAUCGACAAGAGUAGUUGCGACCUCGAUGUUGAAUUAAAAUUAUUCUGAUAAAUGCAGUAGUUUAUAUAGUAAGUCUGUUCGACUUUUAAAAUUUUACAUGAUUUGAGUUCAAACCGGUGUGAGCCA
RNAcentral lists this ribosomal RNA (517 nucleotides) under Eupontonia nudirostris. RNAcentral's name for it is "partial large subunit ribosomal RNA". It matches the Rfam family "Archaeal large subunit ribosomal RNA", at positions 1950 to 2697 of the family's 2987-position model. The record is from RNAcentral. Lineage: Eukaryota; Metazoa; Arthropoda; Malacostraca; Decapoda; Palaemonidae.